This 253-nucleotide ribosomal RNA is filed under the name uncultured bacterium. Its description in RNAcentral is "partial 16S ribosomal RNA". It matches the Rfam family "Bacterial small subunit ribosomal RNA", at positions 524 to 776 of the family's 1533-position model. The record is from RNAcentral.
UACAGAGGGUGCGAGCGUUAAUCGGAUUUACUGGGCGUAAAGCGUGCGUAGGCGGCUUUUUAAGUCGGAUGUGAAAUCCCUGAGCUUAACUUAGGAAUUGCAUUCGAUACUGGUAGUCUAGAGUGUGCAAGAGGAUGGGGGAAUUCCUGGUGUAGCAGUGAAAUGCGUAGAGAUCUGGAGGAAUACCGAUGGCGAAGGCAGCCAUCUGGCCUAAUACUGACGCUGAGGUACGAAAGCAUGGGGAGCAAACAGG